UACAGAGGGUGCGAGCGUUAAUCGGAAUUACUGGGCGUAAAGCGCGCGUAGGCGGCUUUGCAAGUCGGGUGUGAAAUCCCCAGGCUUAACCUGGGAACUGCAUUCGAGACUGCAUUGCUAGAGUAUGGGAGAGGGAAGUGGAAUUUCCGGUGUAGCGGUGAAAUGCGUAGAUAUCGGAAGGAACACCGGUGGCGAAAGCGGCGCGCUGGAUCCCUACUGACGCUGAGGCACGAAAGCCAGGGGAGCAAACGGG
RNAcentral lists this ribosomal RNA (253 nucleotides) under uncultured bacterium. RNAcentral's name for it is "partial 16S ribosomal RNA". It matches the Rfam family "Bacterial small subunit ribosomal RNA", at positions 524 to 776 of the family's 1533-position model. The record is from RNAcentral.